AAAUGAUUUGAACUAUGCUAUACUGCUUUAACUUGUCGUUGGGAAAGUCCGGUGCGAUUCCGGUACUGUGCCGCAACUGUAAUCAAGGAAAAAGUAAAAAGAGAAUUAUUUUCCCUUGCCUUUUAACUUUUUACCUUGUUAGUCAGAAUGCCAUUUGCAAGUUUUUCAAAGGU
This 173-nucleotide non-coding RNA is filed under the name Oscillatoriales cyanobacterium. Lineage: Bacteria; Bacillati; Cyanobacteriota; Cyanophyceae; Oscillatoriales. The record is from RNAcentral.